This 475-nucleotide ribosomal RNA is filed under the name uncultured bacterium. RNAcentral describes it as "bacterial SSU rRNA". It matches the Rfam family "Bacterial small subunit ribosomal RNA", at positions 28 to 507 of the family's 1533-position model. The record is from RNAcentral.
AAUGAACGUUGGCGGCGUGGAUUAGGCAUGCAAGUCGCGCGACAAGGUUUUCCAGCUUGCUGGAGAACGGAGGAGCGGCGAAAGGGAGAGUAACGCGUGGAUACCUGCCCUUGGCUCUGGGAUAGCAGCGGGAAACUGCUGGUAAUACCGGAUAAUGUCCCCGGACCAAAGGUGUGAUUCCGGCCGAGGAUGGGUCCGCGUCCUAUUAGGUUGUUGGUGAGGUAAUGGCUCACCAAGCCGAAGAUGGUACCGGGCGUGAGAGCGUGACCCGGCUCACUGGGACUGAGACACUGCCCAGACACCUACGGGUGGCUGCAGUCGAGAAUCUUCCGCAAUGGACGCAAGUCUGACGGAGCGACGCCGCGUGCGGGAUGAAGGCCUUCGGGUUGUAAACCGCUGUCAGUGGGGAGCAAAUGCAUUGGGGCUAUCUCCAAUGUUUGAGCGAUCCGCAGAGGAAGUACGGGCUAAGUUCGUG